UCCGCUUUACAGCGGCAGUUUGUUCCGAGUCCCCGACUUUACUCGCUGGUAACAGAACAUGAGGGUUGCGCUCGUUGCGGGACUUAACCCAACAUUUCACAACACGAGCUGACGACAGCCAUGCACCACCUGUGCACCACCCUCGAAGGCGGCGCUAUUUCUAACGCUUGCAGGUGCAUGUCAAGCCCUGGUAAGGUUCUUCGCGUUGCAUCGAAUUAAGCCACAUGCUCCACCGCUUGUGCGGGCCCCCGCCAAUUCCUUUGAGUUUUAAUCUUGCGAUCGUAGUUCCCAGGCGGUUCACUUAAUGCGUUAGCUGCGGCACCGAGGUGAAACCCCGACACCUAGUGAACAUCGUUUAUGGCCAAGACUAC
RNAcentral lists this unclassified non-coding RNA (371 nucleotides) under uncultured bacterium. RNAcentral describes it as "contains 16S-23S intergenic spacer region". The record is from RNAcentral.